RNAcentral lists this long non-coding RNA (925 nucleotides) under Marmota monax (woodchuck). The record is from RNAcentral. Lineage: Eukaryota; Metazoa; Chordata; Mammalia; Rodentia; Sciuridae.
CACAUAGUAGCUUUAUUAAACUACACAUACCUUUUGAAAAACAAUUUUUUCUAAUGAGUUAUACAUGACAGUAGAAUGCAUUUGGAUGUAUUGUACACAAAUGGAGCUCAGUUUCUUCCUCUAGCCAAAUAUGAUUCAGAGUCACACCAAUACUAUAAUAAUACAUGUACACAGAGUAAUAAUGACUACCUCAUUCCAUCAACUUUCCCAUCCGCAUAGCCGUUGCACUCCCUCAUACCUCUCUGCAAAGUACAAAGUUCCUUCAUUCUUCCCUUCCCAUCAUUGAGGAUUAGCAUUUGCUUAUCAGAGAAAACAUUUGGCAUUUGUUUUUUUGAGUUUGACUUAUUUCCCUUAGCAUCCAUCAAUGUACUUGCAAAUGCCAUAAUUUUAUUCUUCUUUAAGACUGAUUAAUAUUCCAUGUAUAUAUGUACAUUAUUUUCUUUAUUCAUUUAUCUGCUGAAGGGAAUCUAGGUUGGUUCCAUAGUUUAGCUAUUGUGAGUUGAGUGGCUAUGAACAUUGAUGUGACUGCAUCAUUGUAGUAUGCUGAUUAUAAGACUUUUGGGUAUAAACUAAGGAGUGGGAUAACUGAGUCAAAUGGUGGUUCCAUCCCAAAAUUUCUGAGGAAUCUUCAUAUUGCUUUUCAUAAAGUUUGCACCAAUUUGUAGUUUCACCAGCAAUAAAUGGAUGUACAUUUUUCCCCACAUUCUCAACAACAUUUAUUGUUGCUUGUAUUCUUGAUAAUCAUCAUUCUGAUUGGGGUGAGAUGAAAUGUUACAGUAGUCUUGAUUUGCAUCUCUAGUUGCUAAAGAUGAUGAACAUUUUUUCAUAUAUCUGUUGAUCAAUUGUAUUUCUUCUUCUGUGAAGUGUCUGUUCAGUUCCUUAGCACAUUUAUUGAUUGGGUUAUUUGGGUUUUUUUGGUUUUCAG